ACUAGUGAUUUCCGUAGGUGAACCUGCGGAAGGAUCAUUCGCACAAAGAAUAUCUUUUACACCCGCCACGCACCACACAGUGCUUUCUGUUUUUAAUCAGGAUUUAUAUCCAACUCGUCGAUGUUGCGAUUCCAUUGCAAUGUAUGCGAUGUUAUCUAUCUCUUGCGACGACGAAUGCCUUGGCUCGAGGAUCGUUGAAGGACGCAGCGAACUGUGCUAAACAUCUCGAAUUGCAGAUUUCCGAGAAAGAAAAGGAUUCUGAACGCACUUUGCGAAUUGACCUCGUGUCAGUUCACUUGAUUGGCAGUGACCGCAAUAUGCAGUCGCUCGAACUCCGAAGUUUGAGUGGUGUGCACGUGUUGUUGCAGAUUGUUGCACCGACAUGUUCGUAGAAUUCGACGCGCCUCUCGUUUUCGAGCAGCAUUAUGACUUCGUGUUAUGAUGUUCGAAAGCAGGGACCGUUUCUUGUUUGGUUUUCCAAACGAUUCUUUCGCACGCUCACGACCAGUCAAGGGAUUACCCGCUGAAUUUAAGCAUAUCAA
This 542-nucleotide ribosomal RNA is filed under the name uncultured eukaryote. RNAcentral describes it as "eukaryotic LSU rRNA". The stretch from base 160 to 312 matches the Rfam family "5.8S ribosomal RNA". The record is from RNAcentral.